Molecule: ribosomal RNA, 253 nt
Filed under: uncultured bacterium
Lineage: Bacteria
Description: partial 16S ribosomal RNA
Rfam family: Bacterial small subunit ribosomal RNA
Source: RNAcentral
UGCAGAGGGGGCAAGCGUUGUUCGGAAUUACUGGGCGUAAAGGGCGCGUAGGCGGCCUUCUAAGUCGAACGUGAAAUCCCCGGGCUCAACCCGGGAACUGCGUCCGAUACUGGAAGGCUUGAAUCCGGGAGAGGGAUGCGGAAUUCCAGGUGUAGCGGUGAAAUGCGUAGAUAUCUGGAGGAACACCGGUGGCGAAGGCGGCAUCCUGGACCGGCAUUGACGCUGAGGCGCGAAAGCUAGGGGAGCAAACGGG